Molecule: ribosomal RNA, 406 nt
Filed under: uncultured bacterium
Lineage: Bacteria
Description: partial 16S ribosomal RNA
Rfam family: Bacterial small subunit ribosomal RNA
Source: RNAcentral
AUUGAACGCUGGCGGCAGGCUUAACACAUGCAAGUCGAGCGAGCGGCGGACGGGUGAGUAAUGUCUGGGAAACUGCCUGAUGGAGGGGGAUAACUACUGGAAACGGUAGCUAAUACCGCAUACCAUCAGAUGUGCCCAGAUGGGAUUAGCUAGUAGGUGGGGUAAUGGCUCACCUAGGCGACGAUCCCUAGCUGGUCUGAGAGGAUGACCACCCAAACUGAAAGUGAGACACGGUCCGAACACAUAGGGGGGGAAGCAGUGGGGGAUUGUGAGCAUGGGGAGCAGGCCUGAUGCAAAAAUGCGGAGUGUGUGAAGAGGGCCUUCGGGUGGUAAAACACUUUCAGCGAGGAGGGGUUCCUCGCAGAAGAGGCACCGGCUGACUCCGUGCCAGCAGGCGCGGUAAUAC